Molecule: ribosomal RNA, 527 nt
Filed under: Mycoblastus caesius
Lineage: Eukaryota; Fungi; Ascomycota; Lecanoromycetes; Lecanorales; Mycoblastaceae
Description: SSU rRNA
Rfam family: Bacterial small subunit ribosomal RNA
Source: RNAcentral
GGGGCUCCAAAGUACUGAUGGUGUAGAGAUGAAAUUCCGAAAUACCUUUUUUAUUCAGAAAAUCAAUGGCACAGGUAUAGGCGAAGGCAUCCCCUUAUUAGAUAACUGACGUUAAAAUACGAAGGCUCUGAGACGCGAACAGGAUUAGAGACCCUAUUAGUCGGAGCAGUAAACGAUGAAUGUCAUAGGUUAGAUAAUUAUUUAUCCUGUAAACGAAAGUGUAAGCAUUCCACCUCGAGAGUAAUAUGGCAACGUUGAAACUGAAAUCAUUAGACCGUUUCUGAGACCAGUAGUGAAGUAUGUUGUUUAAUUUGAUAGCCCGCAGAAAACCUUACCACAACUUGAAUAUUUAUAUCUUGCAUAUAAUUACAAGUGUUGCACGGCUGUCUUCAGUUAAUGUCGUGAGACAUCGGUUGGCUCCAUUUAAUUAACGCAAACCCUUGCUUUAUUUUUUUAUAUAAAGUAUUCUACUUUAGAAAAGUUUUGAUAAUAGGGACUAGGACAAGCCCUCAUGACCUAAAUGUUGU